CCCAGGCUGGAGUUGGAUGCUUAACCGACUGAGCCACCCAGGCACCCCUGAAAGAAACUUCUAAGGCAGUGUAGUAGCCAGCCCCCAUGAUGGGCCUUGGUGGGCCUUGCCUCCUGGGGUCCACGCCUUUGUGUUGUCCCCUCCCACACGGAAUCACAGCAGGCCCGUGUGGGGCUUGCACAUCUAGGUCACAGAAGACACUGCAGCCUCUGCCUUGCUCACUCUUGGCUGCCAUUUGUGGGGACGCAUGAGCAGCCCUGACAGAGGAACUGAAGCCAUCCAGGGAUGGCCAGCACCAGCCUGCCUGUCAUGGGAGAGCACCAUCUUGGAAGCAGAUUUUCUAGCCCUAGAGCAGCCUUUAGAUGACUGCAGCCCCGGAUGACAGCUUAAUGGUGACCUCCAGGGGGACCCAGGAGCUAGCACCACCCAGUGACACCACUCCCAAAUUCCUGACCCGCGGAGAGUGAGAGAUAAAUGUUCACUGUUUCAAGCCACUAAGUUUUGGCAUUGUUAUAUGGUAACAGACAACAAACACAGGCAGAUACUAUUAUGAUCUCGUCCAUUUUACAGAUAAGGAAGAGGACUUUCAUGGAAGGACCUUUGAUUACCUGAUAGCGGACAAACCAAAAGCCAGUGCUUUUAACAACUAACCCUGGGGGACUGGAGAAGGUCAUAAAACCAACUGUCUUAUCCCUUCAUUGUGGCAGAUGGGGAAACUGACCUGGGGUCGUACAGAAGGUUUCUAGACAAAGAGCAAAGAUCUGUCUUGGGACACCAGGUGGCCUUGGCUCAUGGGUGAGUAAUGCCACUUCAGGGACUCUCUUGAAGCUACUGGUCAAGAAACAACAAACCUCCUGCAGCCUGAUGCACAGAUUCACAAUCAUAGGUUGAAAGAACGCAACGCCUCCCUCAUCAUGAUAACAAUUUGAUUACUCUGAAAAUUGGUCACUGUUUCCUAUUGUCAAAAUAUAAAAA
Long non-coding RNA from Acinonyx jubatus (cheetah), 975 nucleotides. RefSeq lists it as uncharacterized. The record is from RefSeq and is a predicted model, not a curated record. The transcript is spliced from 3 exons. NCBI's taxonomy places the organism in Eukaryota, Metazoa, Chordata, Mammalia, Carnivora, Felidae.